Molecule: ribosomal RNA, 495 nt
Filed under: uncultured bacterium
Lineage: Bacteria
Description: partial 16S ribosomal RNA
Rfam family: Bacterial small subunit ribosomal RNA
Source: RNAcentral
GACGAACGCUGGCGGCGUGCCUAAUACAUGCAAGUAGAACGCUGAAGGAGGAGCUUGCUUCUCUGGAUGAGUUGCGAACGGGUGAGUAACGCGUAGGUAACCUGCCUGGUAGCGGGGGAUAACUAUUGGAAACGAUAGCUAAUACCGCAUAAUAGUAGAUGUUGCAUGACAUUUGCUUAAAAGGUGCAAUUGCAUCACUACCAGAUGGACCUGCGUUGUAUUAGCUAGUUGGUGGGGUAACGGCUCACCAAGGCGACGAUACAUAGCCGACCUGAGAGGGUGAUCGGCCACACUGGGACUGAGACACGGCCCAGACUCCUACGGGAGGCAGCAGUAGGGAAUCUUCGGCAAUGGACGGAAGUCUGACCGAGCAACGCCGCGGGAGUGAAGAAGGUUUUCGGAUCGUAAAGCUCUGUUGUAAGAGAAGAACGAGUGUGAGAGUGGAAAGUUCACACUGUGACGGUAUCUGACCAGAAAGGGACGGCUAACUACGUG